GAAUCGAUAGCUUAGCAUAUAAAGCCCUAAACUUUUAAUUUAGAUAACGGUACAAAACCUCGAUUCG
This 67-nucleotide transfer RNA is filed under the name unidentified. Its description in RNAcentral is "Cupuladria biporosa tRNA-Lys". It matches the Rfam family "tRNA". From Rfam's summary of the family: Transfer RNA (tRNA) molecules are approximately 80 nucleotides in length. The record is from RNAcentral.